Acanthosepion pharaonis is the source of this 107-nucleotide non-coding RNA. The record is from the annotation of a GenBank genome assembly. Lineage: Eukaryota; Metazoa; Mollusca; Cephalopoda; Sepiida; Sepiidae.
UACGACCAUCUUAUAUUGAAUACCCGGUUCCCCUAUGAUCACCAAAGUUAAGCCACGUCGAGCCUGGUCAGUAUCUAGAUGGGUGACCACUUGAGAAUAUCAGGUAC